AGUGAACGCUGGCGGUAUGCCUAAUACAUGCAAGUCGAGCGGCAACACAGUGAGCGUUCGCUUUUACGGGUGGCGAGUGGCGGGCGGGUGAGGUGUAGAUCGGCAUCUUAUUUUUCGUGGGUGAUAACGUGGAGACGGUUCUGAUAAUGGCGAAUAUGUCUAACGGCUGGAUGCAGGGGAUAUUGAGGCUUUUUGUGAUACCAUGAGCUGGUGUCGUAUUGGAUUGUUUAGGGGGUAGAGGCCCACCAAGGCUACGCUACGUAGCUUGACUGAGCGGAUGAUCGGCCACACUGGAUCUGAGACACGGUCCAGACUCCUACGGGAGGCAGCAGUGGGGAAUAUUGGACAAUGGGCGCAAGCCUGAUCCAGCCAAGCCGCGUGAGUGAAGAAGGUCUUCGGAUUGUAAAGCCCUUUUGUUCGGAAAGAAAAGCAGCGGGAUAAUACCCCCCUGUUCUGACGGUACCCAAAGAGUAAGCACCGGCUAACUUCGUG
Molecule: ribosomal RNA, 492 nt
Filed under: uncultured bacterium
Lineage: Bacteria
Description: partial 16S ribosomal RNA
Rfam family: Bacterial small subunit ribosomal RNA
Source: RNAcentral